RNAcentral lists this transfer RNA (73 nucleotides) under Stegodyphus mimosarum. It matches the Rfam family "tRNA". From Rfam's summary of the family: Transfer RNA (tRNA) molecules are approximately 80 nucleotides in length. Their secondary structure includes four short double-helical elements and three loops (D, anti-codon, and T loops). Further hydrogen bonds mediate the characteristic L-shaped molecular structure. tRNAs have two regions of fundamental functional importance: the anti-codon, which is responsible for specific mRNA codon recognition, and the 3' end, to which the tRNAs corresponding amino acid is attached (by aminoacyl-tRNA synthetases). tRNAs cope with the degeneracy of the genetic code in two manners: having more than one tRNA (with a specific anti-codon) for a particular amino acid; and 'wobble' base-pairing, i.e. permitting non-standard base-pairing at the 3rd anti-codon position. Lineage: Eukaryota; Metazoa; Arthropoda; Arachnida; Araneae; Eresidae. The record is from Rfam by way of RNAcentral.
GCCUUUGUGGUGUAAUGGUUAGUACACUCGGCGCGUAUUCGAGAGGUCCGAGGUUCGAGUCCCGGCGAAGGCA